UCGGAGACGGCUACCUACAUUUUUAUGACUAUAUGAUGGAUAAAUCCACAAUCUAUAAUCAUUGACUUGUUAAGUGUCAUUUAAAGGGGUCACGUGGGGUUUUCAUUUCAUUUUGUAUUUUUCUUUUUUCGUUUAUUUUUAUUGUUUUGUUCAUAACCCUAGUAUGUUCUUUACACUUUAGCAGUCCUUUAUUCUGUAUCCUAUUAUCUUCAAUCAAUCUCCAAGCCAUUUUCUCUAUUGUUCUCUAUUAUGACCCCAAUUAAUGAUUACUCACAUAUUUCAGUACUUCCUAACUUAAGUAAGUCAAUAUAUCUCUUUUCAAAUUGUUAAAGGACUGGCAAAGAGUUGACAUUUUCAAUAUUUUAUUUUAUGUCAAAUAUUUUGUUUCCGUUGAGAUAAACAUGAAAAUUAUUAAUGCCAAUUUGAUCUCGCCUUGACUAUAUCUAUACUAUUCGCCACUGAACGUUGUACAUUACACAAUAAAUCAAUUGAUUUCAAAUUGAUAUCUGUUUACAGCAUAUAUAAUAUACUUAAAGGAUAUAUGAUGCAAUUUCCAACCUGAUAACAAAUCGAAGAAGCUUUCAAAUAUUUAUUAUUCUUUACUAUACCAUAACAUCAUUACCGAUAAUUUCUAUUGGAAACUAAUGUGCCGUUUUGUUAAUAAGCUUCCAUGUUUGAGCAUGCUCCGUUGAGCUUGACCUUGUUUGCGCAUGCUCCGUUGAGCUUGACCUUCCCUAUCAUUUGUCUUACAAUGUCUCCCUGUGAUUUUCCAAAGCAUGAAGUUAUUUCUAUAUAUGUAUUAUGAAUAACCCAGCUUCUAAAUUACAAUAAAUCUAUAGAAGCACUCAGCGGGGGAAAUUAUAACGGAGGUCUUUAUAUUAUUGACAAUGCAACGGAAUAAAUUUCACGGAAACAAACCUUUUCACCUCCGUAUAUGUAAUCAAUUAUAGAAACUUAAAAU
Molecule: long non-coding RNA, 961 nt
Filed under: Mytilus galloprovincialis (Mediterranean mussel)
Lineage: Eukaryota; Metazoa; Mollusca; Bivalvia; Mytilida; Mytilidae
Source: RNAcentral